This is a long non-coding RNA of Trifolium pratense (red clover), 592 nucleotides long. RefSeq lists it as uncharacterized. The record is from RefSeq and is a predicted model, not a curated record. Lineage: Eukaryota; Viridiplantae; Streptophyta; Magnoliopsida; Fabales; Fabaceae. The transcript is spliced from 5 exons.
UCUAUCCAACAAAGAAAUAGCCAUUCAAAUGACCAUAAUACCCCUCACCUUCCACAAGCUCAAAAAAAAUACAUGUGGCAUAUGCAUUAAAUGCUACCAUCUUCCCUCUACUUUCCUAAAGAAAGAAGAACAAAAGUCAAAUGAAACUCUCAUCCUCUUGACAAAGAAUGAAUGGAAAGAAUGACUACAAAUCAGUUUGCUUCACCCGCAUCUUUUCAUCAAAAUUUAAUGCUCAGCACAACAAAGAUCUAGGAAAGUUAUGUUUUUUGUUAAGAAGAACAACAUUGCAACACAUGUAUUUCACUUUUCGGUGCGGUGGUUACAGAAGAAAAUAUUCUAAUCUUCAUUUUUAUGUUGUGGGUUUUGUAGAGAAUGCGGAGAAAAGUCACUUUAUGGUGAUGUUUUUUCAAAAUUGGGUCGUUACAAUAUACGUCACACUGCAUGUCUUAAAGUUUAAGUUUGUCAUGGGAUAUCAUGAACAUGUCUUAAAGAUGAAUAUUUUAAAAUAACUAUUAUAGACAAAAAACCAUUAUGAGUGCCGCUAUUGUAGUAAAGUUUUAAUUGAAAAUAAUAUAGUAAAAGAUUUUCGCUA